RNAcentral lists this ribosomal RNA (404 nucleotides) under Actinomycetes bacterium. RNAcentral's name for it is "Actinobacteria bacterium partial 16S ribosomal RNA". It matches the Rfam family "Bacterial small subunit ribosomal RNA", at positions 355 to 776 of the family's 1533-position model. Lineage: Bacteria; Bacillati; Actinomycetota; Actinomycetes. The record is from RNAcentral.
UGGGGAAUAUUGGACAAUGGGCGCAAGCCUGAUCCAGCCAUGCCGCGUGAGUGAUGAAGGCCCUAGGGUUGUAAAGCUCUUUCACCGGUGAAGAUAAUGACGGUAACAGGAGAAGAAGCCCCGGCUAACUUCGUGCCAGCAGCCGCGGUAAUACGAAGGGGGCUAGCGUUGUUCGGAUUUACUGGGCGUAAAGCGCACGUAGGCGGACUAUUAAGUCAGGGGUGAAAUCCCGGGGCUCAACCCCGGAACUGCCUUUGAUACUGGUAGUCUUGAGUUCGAGAGAGGUGAGUGGAAUUCCGAGUGUAGAGGUGAAAUUCGUAGAUAUUCGGAGGAACACCAGUGGCGAAGGCGGCUCACUGGCUCGAUACUGACGCUGAGGUGCGAAAGCGUGGGGAGCAAACAGG